AUGGCGCCGCCGGGCAACUCCGUCGACCUCAAGGGUGCAAAGAAGGGCAAGAAAUCAAACUCCAAGAAUGAGAAAAGGCACAGGAAGGAGAAGCACGAGCGUCCUGCCGCCGACGAAGCGUCUCUCCCCAACGAGGCCAAGCGCAAGCACAAGGAGCACGGCAAGAAGCCCAAGAACGAGAAAAAGGCUGAGGCUGAGACCGAGGCGGGCGGGGUGAAGCGCGGAGACGAGAGGAUGAGGCGGGCGAUGGAGGACGAGCGGUUCGCGGCGGCGCGGACCGACCCUAGGUUCGGAUCGAUGCCGCGGAAGGAGGCGAAGUACUCUGUCGGCAGUGACAUUGCUCAUUACUUGAUGGCGAGGCAUGAUGAUACACCUAUGAUCGAUAAGGAAACUCACAGGCUUGCUGUUGUUAAUAUGGACUGGGAUCAUAUUAAGGCAGUGGACUUGUAUAUGGUGAUGACAUCUUGGGUCCCGAAAGGUGGGCGAGUUCUAUCAGUUUCCAUAUAUCCAUCAGAAUUUGGACUGGAGUGCAUGAAUAUUGAGACAACACAAGGCCCGUCUGCUCUUCUUGGUGCCGAUGAGGAUGAUGGUGGUGAUGGUGGGGAUGACGAUAACAGCGAGGUUGAAGACGAUGACGAUGAUGAUGUUGAUGGCGAAUACGAUAGUGAACAUGACUCUGAGACCGAGAACAACAGGCUGCGUGCUUAUGAGCUAAACAGACUGAGUGCAACUGCGAAUCACCUAUACAUGACUCUUGAUAGUACUGAGUUCUUGAAAACGGCAAAUGUGUUUGAUCUGCAGUUUAUUCGUGACUCUAUGGAGUUCAAGCGCGCUGCUCGUGAUGUAGCUACAGAGGCACCUCCUAGUUACAAGGAGCCUGAUUCUGAAACUCCCGCUUUGCAACCUAGCAAAGUUAAGCUCACGUGGGAUGAUGAUGAACCAGAUCGUAAGAUCUUGAGGUGGAAGUCCAAAGAGGAUCAGUUAGAUGACCCUAAAAUGUUUUUACCAAGUGAUGACAGUGCAUCAGAUGAUGAUGUAGACGAUUCUGGUGAUGAGUCUCUACCAAAUGGUGUAGCGAAAAGAAAGUUAAUAAACAAGGAAAGGUUGGCUCUUUUACUACAAGGAGAUAAAUCUGACGAGGAACAAAGUGAUGGCCAGGGCAUGGAGAUAACAUUCAACAUGGAACCCGAGGACCUCAGCAAGCGUAUCCUUGAGAGAAAGAGCAUCGAGACGAAAAUUGUCUGGGAGACGCACCAAGAAAAAAUGAAGGAGAAGCGGAAAGCUAGGAAGAGGUCGUCAAAGGAUGAUGAUGACUACAGUGACGAAGAUAGCGCUGAUGAAAAUGAUGAUUUCUUUGAGGAUGAAAAGGCUGAUGAAGAAGUUAGGCCAAUCAAGAAACAAAAGGUGAAGACCAAAGGGAAAGCAAAGGACAAGCUUCCAGAGGAACAUUUUGAACCAGAAGCAACUAAAGAAGAGUUGGAGCUCUUGGUUGCUGCUGACCAGGAUGCAGCCAAUGGUGCAAAGGGUUGUAACAUAAAACGCAGGAGUAAGAAGAGCAAGGGUUGUGUCGAGGACAAACUUCCUGAAAUCAAUAUUAGCACAGAUGACUUGAGGUUCUCAGCCACGUUGACGGAUCAUCUGUAUGCAUUGGAUCCUACUGAUCCCCAGUACAAGAGGUAUCACAUAGUGGGACGCGGAGGAAUUGAUCACGAGCACACAGGCUUUCGGAAUCUGUCCCGCUCCAUAUGUCGUCGUGAUUCGUUUUACCAAACACACGUGACCGCUGCAGGGCCAAGCAGACGAGGUGGAAUAGAAAAAGAAAAGGAGAAAUUCUCCUGGACGGAGGGCCAGAACGGCAUGUCCAUUCGAGGCCGUCGCGAAUUGGCGUCGGAGCCGUCGCUCGGGUCGGUAACGACGUCACUGGGUUGGAGUAAAUGCGAUAUGGGUAGCUGGGUGUAG
This 1959-nucleotide ribosomal RNA is filed under the name Triticum aestivum (bread wheat). Its description in RNAcentral is "partial small subunit ribosomal RNA". Lineage: Eukaryota; Viridiplantae; Streptophyta; Magnoliopsida; Poales; Poaceae. The record is from RNAcentral.